Molecule: non-coding RNA, 104 nt
Organism: Canis lupus familiaris (dog)
Lineage: Eukaryota; Metazoa; Chordata; Mammalia; Carnivora; Canidae
Source: Rfam
AUCCUUUUGUAGUUCAUAAGCAUGGUGAUUGAGUGUUGAUGCCACUAUAUGACAUGUGCUUCACUCAAACCUUAUUACAACCUCUGCACAUAACUGGUCUGAUA